GAUGAACGCUGGCGGCGUGCUUAACACAUGCAAGUCGAACGGUGAAGCAGGAGCUUGCUCUUGUGGAUCAGUGGCGAACGGGUGAGUAACACGUGAGCAACCUGCCCCUGACUCUGGGAUAAGCGCUGGAAACGGCGUCUAAUACUGGAUAUGUGAUGUGACCGCAUGGUCUGCAUCUGGAAAGAAUUUCGGUUGGGGAUGGGCUCGCGGCCUAUCAGCUUGUUGGUGAGGUAAUGGCUUACCAAGGCGUCGACGGGUAGCCGGCCUGAGAGGGGGGCCGGCCACACUGGGACUGAGACACGGCCCAGACGCCGACGGGAGGCAGCAGUGGGGAAGAUUGCACAAUGGGCGGACGCCUGAUGCAGCAACGCCGCGUGAGGGAUGACGGCCUUCGGGUUGUAAACCUCUUUUAGCAGGGAAGAAGCGAAAGUGACGGUACCUGCAGAAAAAGCACCGGCUAACUACGUGCCAGCCGCCGCCGUAA
This 484-nucleotide ribosomal RNA is filed under the name uncultured bacterium. RNAcentral describes it as "partial 16S ribosomal RNA". It matches the Rfam family "Bacterial small subunit ribosomal RNA", at positions 28 to 523 of the family's 1533-position model. The record is from RNAcentral.